Molecule: ribosomal RNA, 164 nt
Filed under: Lonicera similis
Lineage: Eukaryota; Viridiplantae; Streptophyta; Magnoliopsida; Dipsacales; Caprifoliaceae
Description: 5.8S ribosomal RNA
Rfam family: 5.8S ribosomal RNA
About the family: 5.8S ribosomal RNA (5.8S rRNA) is a component of the large subunit of the eukaryotic ribosome. It is transcribed by RNA polymerase I as part of the 45S precursor that also contains 18S and 28S rRNA. Functionally, it is thought that 5.8S rRNA may be involved in ribosome translocation.
Source: RNAcentral
CAAACAACUCUCGGCAAUGGAUAUCUCAACUCUCGCAUCAAUAAAGAAUGCAGUGAAAUGCGAUACCUGGUGUGAAUUGCAGAAUCUCGUGAACCAUCGAGUCUUUGAACGCAAGUUUGGCCCGAAGCCAUUAGAUAUAGGGCACGUCUGCCUGGGCUUCACAC